AUUGAACGCUGGCGGCAGGCCUAACACAUGCAAGUCGAGCGGAUGAAGGGAGCUUGCUCCUGGAUUCAGCGGCGGACGGGUGAGUAAUGCCUAGGAAUCUGCCUGGUAGUGGGGGAUAACGUCCGGAAACGGGCGCUAAUACCGCAUACGUCCUGAGGGAGAAAGUGGGGGAUCUUCGGACCUCACGCUAUCAGAUGAGCCUAGGUCGGAUUAGCUAGUUGGUGGGGUAAAGGCCUACCAAGGCGACGAUCCGUAACUGGUCUGAGAGGAUGAUCAGUCACACUGGAACUGAGACACGGUCCAGACUCCUACGGGAGGCAGCAGUGGGGAAUAUUGGACAAUGGGCGAAAGCCUGAUCCAGGCAUGCCGCGUGUGUGAAGAAGGUCUUCGGAUUGUAAAGCACCUUAAGUUGGGAGGAAGGGCAGUAAGUUAAUACCUUGCUGUUUUGACGUUACCAACAGAAUAAGCACCGGCUAACUUCGUG
Molecule: ribosomal RNA, 484 nt
Filed under: uncultured bacterium
Lineage: Bacteria
Description: partial 16S ribosomal RNA
Rfam family: Bacterial small subunit ribosomal RNA
Source: RNAcentral